CUCCGUGCCAGCAGCCGCGGUAAUACGGAGGAUGCGAGCGUUAUCAGGAUUUAUUGGGUUUAAAGGGUGCGUAGGCGGGAUUUUAAGUCAGCGGUGAAACGCAAGGGCUCAACCCUUGACCUGCCGUUGAAACUGGAGUUCUUGAAUGCGGAUGCUGUGGGAGGAAUGUGUGGUGUAGCGGUGAAAUGCAUAGAUAUCACACAGAACACCGAUUGCGAAGGCAUCUCACAAAUCCGUGAUUGACGCUGAGGCACGAAAGUGUGGGGAUCAAACAGGAUUAGAUACCCUGGUAGUCCACACUGUAAACGAUGAUAACUCGCUGUCGGCGAUACACAGUCGGUGGCCAAGCGAAAGCGAUAAGUUAUCCACCUGGGGAGUACGACCGCAAGGUUGAAACUCAAAGGAAUUGACGGGGGCCCGCACAAGCGGAGGAACAUGUGGUUUAAUUCGAUGAUACGCGAGGAACCUUACCCGGGCUCGAACGGCAAGUGAACGACACAGAGAUGUGAAGGUCCUUCGGGACACUUGUCGAGGUGCUGCAUGGUUGUCGUCAGCUCGUGCCGUGAGGUGUCGGCUUAAGUGCCAUAACGAGCGCAACCCUUGCCAUUAGUUACCAGCAUGUAAUGAUGGGGACUCUAGUGGGACUGCCACCGUAAGGUGUGAGGAGGGGGGGGAUGACGUCAAAUCAGCACGGCCCUUACGUCCGGGGCGACACACGUGUUACAAUGGUGGGUACAGAGGGCAGCUACCUGGUGACAGGAUGCAAAUCUCGAAAACCCAUCUCAGUUCGGAUCGGAGUCUGCAACUCGACUCCGUGAAGUUGGAUUCGCUAGUAAUCGCGCAUCAGCCAUGGCGCGGUGAAUACGUUCCCGGGCCUUGCACUCACCGCCCGUCAAG
RNAcentral lists this ribosomal RNA (897 nucleotides) under uncultured bacterium. RNAcentral's name for it is "bacterial SSU rRNA". It matches the Rfam family "Bacterial small subunit ribosomal RNA", at positions 501 to 1401 of the family's 1533-position model. The record is from RNAcentral.